GACGAACGCUGGCGGCGUGCCUAAUACAUGCAAGUAGAACGCUGAAGAGAGGAGCUUGCUCUUCUUGGAUGAGUUGCGAACGGGUGAGUAACGCGUAGGUAACCUGCCUGGUAGCGGGGGAUAACUAUUGGAGACGAUAGCUAAUACCGCAUAAAAUGGAUUAUCGCAUGAUAAUCCAUUGAAAGGUGCAAAUGCAUCACUACCAGAUGGACCUGCGUUGUAUUAGCUAGUUGGUGGGGUAACGGCUCACCAAGGCGACGAUACAUAGCCGACCUGAGAGGGUGAUCGGCCACACUGGGACUGAGACACGGCCCAGACUCCUACGGGAGGCAGCAGUAGGGAAUCUUCGGCAAUGGACGGAAGUCUGACCGAGCAACGCCGCGUGAGUGAAGAAGGUUUUCGGAUCGUAAAGCUCGGUUGUAAGAGAAGAACGAGUGUGAGAGUGGAAAGUUCACACUGUGACGGUAUCUUACCAGAAAGGGACGGCUAACUACGUG
This 497-nucleotide ribosomal RNA is filed under the name uncultured bacterium. Its description in RNAcentral is "partial 16S ribosomal RNA". It matches the Rfam family "Bacterial small subunit ribosomal RNA", at positions 28 to 507 of the family's 1533-position model. The record is from RNAcentral.